This 327-nucleotide ribosomal RNA is filed under the name uncultured eukaryote. RNAcentral's name for it is "partial 18S ribosomal RNA". It matches the Rfam family "Eukaryotic small subunit ribosomal RNA", at positions 1470 to 1796 of the family's 1831-position model. The record is from RNAcentral.
CCCUUAGAUGUUCUGGGCCGCACGCGCGCUACACUGACGAAUGCAACGAGCUUAUAACCUUGGCCGAAAGGUCUGGGUAAUCUCCAAAUUUCGUCGUGAUGGGGAUAGAUUAUUGCAAUUAUUAAUCUUCAACGAGGAAUGCCUAGUAAGCGCAAGUCAUCAGCUUGCGUUGAUUACGUCCCUGCCCUUUGUACACACCGCCCGUCGCUCCUACCGAUUGAAUGGUCCGGUGAAGCGUUCGGACCGUGGCCUUUGGACGGUUCGCCGUCUGUUGGCUGCGGGAAGUUCGUUAAUCCUUAUCAUUUAGAGGAAGGAGAANUCGUANCA